RNAcentral lists this ribosomal RNA (253 nucleotides) under uncultured bacterium. RNAcentral's name for it is "partial 16S ribosomal RNA". It matches the Rfam family "Bacterial small subunit ribosomal RNA", at positions 524 to 776 of the family's 1533-position model. The record is from RNAcentral.
UACGUAGGGCGCAAGCGUUGUCCGGAAUUAUUGGGCGUAAAGAGCUCGUAGGCGGUUUGUCGCGUCUGUCGUGAAAGCUUGGGGCUUAACCCCAAGUCUGCGGUGGAUACGGGCAGACUAGAGGCAGGUAGGGGAGAACGGAAUUCCCGGUGUAGCGGUGAAAUGCGCAGAUAUCGGGAGGAACACCGGUGGCGAAGGCGCUGCUCUGGGCCGAUACUGACGCUGAGGAGCGAAAGCGUGGGUAGCAAACAGG